This 464-nucleotide ribosomal RNA is filed under the name uncultured Mycobacterium sp. RNAcentral describes it as "bacterial SSU rRNA". It matches the Rfam family "Bacterial small subunit ribosomal RNA", at positions 107 to 585 of the family's 1533-position model. Lineage: Bacteria; Bacillati; Actinomycetota; Actinomycetes; Mycobacteriales; Mycobacteriaceae. The record is from RNAcentral.
UGAGUAACACGUGGGUGAUCUGCCCUGCACUUUGGGAUAAGCCUGGGAAACUGGGUCUAAUACCGAAUAUGACCAUGGGAUGCAUGUCUUGUGGUGGAAAGCUUUUGCGGUGUGGGAUGGGCCCGCGGCCUAUCAGCUUGUUGGUGGGGUGAUGGCCUACCAAGGCGACGACGGGUAGCCGGCCUGAGAGGGUGUCCGGCCACACUGGGACUGAGAUACGGCCCAGACUCCUACGGGAGGCAGCAGUGGGGAAUAUUGCACAAUGGGCGCAAGCCUGAUGCAGCGACGCCGCGUGAGGGAUGACGGCCUUCGGGUUGUAAACCUCUUUCAGCACAGACGAAGCGCAAGUGACGGUAUGUGCAGAAGAAGCACCGGCCAACUACGUGCCAGCAGCCGCGGUAAUACGUAGGGUGCGAGCGUUGUCCGGAAUUACUGGGCGUAAAGAGCUCGUAGGUGGUUUGUCG